This 1003-nucleotide ribosomal RNA is filed under the name Citrobacter freundii. RNAcentral's name for it is "bacterial LSU rRNA". It matches the Rfam family "Bacterial large subunit ribosomal RNA", at positions 372 to 1379 of the family's 2925-position model. Lineage: Bacteria; Pseudomonadati; Pseudomonadota; Gammaproteobacteria; Enterobacterales; Enterobacteriaceae. The record is from RNAcentral.
CCCGUACACAAAAGUGCAUGUGUUGUGAACUCGAAGAGUAGGGCGGGACACGUGGUAUCCUGUCUGAAUAUGGGGGGACCAUCCUCCAAGGCUAAAUACUCCUGACUGACCGAUAGUGAACCAGUACCGUGAGGGAAAGGCGAAAAGAACCCCGGCGAGGGGAGUGAAAAAGAACCUGAAACCGUGUACGUACAAGCAGUGGGAGCCUCUUUAUGGGGUGACUGCGUACCUUUUGUAUAAUGGGUCAGCGACUUAUAUUCUGUAGCAAGGUUAACCGAAUAGGGGAGCCGAAGGGAAACCGAGUCUUAACUGGGCGUUAAGUUGCAGGGUAUAGACCCGAAACCCGGUGAUCUAGCCAUGGGCAGGUUGAAGGUUGGGUAACACUAACUGGAGGACCGAACCGACUAAUGUUGAAAAAUUAGCGGAUGACUUGUGGCUGGGGGUGAAAGGCCAAUCAAACCGGGAGAUAGCUGGUUCUCCCCGAAAGCUAUUUAGGUAGCGCCUCGUGAAUUCAUCUUCGGGGGUAGAGCACUGUUUCGGCUAGGGGGUCAUCCCGACUUACCAACCCGAUGCAAACUGCGAAUACCGAAGAAUGUUAUCACGGGAGACACACGGCGGGUGCUAACGUCCGUCGUGAAGAGGGAAACAACCCAGACCGCCAGCUAAGGUCCCAAAGUCAUGGUUAAGUGGGAAACGAUGUGGGAAGGCACAGACAGCCAGGAUGUUGGCUUAGAAGCAGCCAUCAUUUAAAGAAAGCGUAAUAGCUCACUGGUCGAGUCGGCCUGCGCGGAAGAUGUAACGGGGCUAAACCAUGCACCGAAGCUGCGGCAGCGACACUAUGUGUUGUUGGGUAGGGGAGCGUUCUGUAAGCCGUUGAAGGUGUGCUGUGAGGCAUGCUGGAGGUAUCAGAAGUGCGAAUGCUGACAUAAGUAACGAUAAUGCGGGUGAAAAACCCGCACGCCGGAAGACCAAGGGUUCCUGUCCAACGUUAAUCGGGGCAGGG